GUCUUUGGCCAUACCACCCUGAAUGUACCCAAACUCGUCUGAUCUCAGAAACCAAGCAGGGUCAGGCCUGGUUGGUAUUUGGAUGGGAGAACAAUUAAGUUUAGCAUACAUUUUAUUAUGUCAUAGAUU
Molecule: ribosomal RNA, 129 nt
Filed under: Fukomys damarensis (Damara mole-rat)
Lineage: Eukaryota; Metazoa; Chordata; Mammalia; Rodentia; Bathyergidae
Source: RNAcentral